Molecule: RNA transcript, 6365 nt
Organism: Dreissena polymorpha
Lineage: Eukaryota; Metazoa; Mollusca; Bivalvia; Myida; Dreissenidae
Gene name: mucolipin-3-like
Exons: 15
Source: RefSeq, a predicted model, not a curated record
UAUUACUUCCUGAUUGAGCACACAGCGUUAACAUUUAUAUCACAAAAGGCGUGGUACGAUGGGGCAGUCACAUACACAGACAAAUCUUACGGAAAUAAUUGAUCUUGAAGUGUUGCAAAAGGAUAUUGUUUUAGUAGAUAUUUGGCAAUUACUGCUAGUGAUAUGUGGAUUAAUUGUGUUUCAAUAAUAUCAAAAUUGAUGUCAGAACUUUAAGUUGCUUUGUGUCAUUUUAACUUAUAUGAGUUUCACUCAAAUUGAGCUAAACUUUGUAAAAUAAAAAAGUCAUGGAAUAAAUGUACGUAUUUACAUGUUACAGUUCAUUUCCGUGUUUCAACUUUUGAAAAAUAAGCAUUAAAUCUGAACCUUUUUCAAUUGACGCACAUCGUAAUAACAUGACAGAUAAAAUAGAACGUCGUGUAAGUUAGUAACUACGCCAUAAUCAAACAAGAUGAACGGUGAAAGGAUGAAAAUUAUGUCAAUGUAAACACAAGAUUGAAAUAUAUUAAAAGCGCAUAUAAACUGUUUUCACAGGCUGAUGAAGAAAGCAAAAAGUGAAGAUACCAGAUAAACAUUAUUACCGCUGCAAAGAUCCCUCACAGCGGAUAUUAAGUCAUAUAGAGUUCAUCACAUACUUUAACCGUCAAUCGGAUUUCUUUUAAUUAAAAGUUUUACACCACACAGCAUCUGCUUUCUAUAACGGAUUCGAAGAUUUAAGACAACAAGAAAUACACCAUUUAAAGUACAGGGUACGGAAUGGAAGCCGACAUUGCUGCUGUAGAGAUUCGCAUCAACGAUGCAAGUUAUCCAAUUAACGACACAAACGAUAACAAAGUUCCAGAUAACUCUGACGACAUAGAAUACCGGACACAGAUCACGCGCCUUCGCAGACGACUGAAGUGGUACUUCUACGAGGCAUUCAAGUUCAAGACCGGCACGUGUUACUUUCACUUGCUUCCUCUGUUCUUCUUCCUUAUGCACUUGGUGAAGGUCGGGCUGAUAACAUCGCAGAUGUUCAAUUUCGGGAACGACCGUGCCAACUUUUCUAACGUGGUCAGUCGGGGACAUCUGGCUCUGCGGCACCUAUUUCUCAAAGGAUGGGACGCAACUUGGGAGACCCUUCCCUACCCUCCGGCCCACGGGGACUUUGCUGUGUACACAAUCGAUGACUUGGUCGCGGGAAUCAACUUUGCUGUGCAAAGGUAUUACAACGUCGAGAAAGAUUCCAUUGGGUUUUACGAGCGACUGCCAACGGACAAACUGGAAAUUAAAAUAAUGUACUUUGAGUUCCCAGGAUUUUCGGAAACUGAGGCCAGCUCUGGAAUCGCCAUAAGAGAGCGAGUGAUAGCUGUAAAUGCAAGUUUGAGUGAGACAUUGGAUCAACAGACAGGCGACAAAACAUACACCUGCGACAUCUUGAAGGGGUUCAAUCAAUCAAAUAUAACAAAACCAAUAAAGAAAUUGCUUGCAACUUAUAUUAACUUCCAAAUACACUCGGUUCGCGUUCUGGAAGCUACCAGUAAAGCUCAAUGCCUCAGAAUUAAGGGAAAGGUUAUGUUCACUGAUCUUGACAACAAUGGACAAGUGAACGUGGAGCUGGAAACUCUGACGACCAGAAUUCGGUGUUCAGAAAUGAACUACUCAUUACCAGAGCCAGUCCUUGAGAACACUUCUCAGUCGACCGCCGCCGCUGUCGUAGCGUUAAGCGUCCUGUCCCUCUUGGCCGCUUGCUAUAACAUCAGCUGGGGAGUUGUGGCUUUCUAUCAAACAAAGUCCUUCAUGGUUCGCUAUUACAAGAAGCUGUUCAUGCCAAUCAACAAGGACGAGACUGACUUGCCUCGCUCUGAGUAUUUACGUUUUCUAAAGAUCUGGGAGAUAUUAAUUUUGGGGGCCGAUGUCAUGAAUAUAAUCGGUUCCGCCGCGUUAUUCGAAAUUGAGAACAAAAACUUUGAGCUAUCGACUCUGGACUCUUAUGCUGUCGUGCUGGGAAUCGGCUGCCUUCUUACCUGGUUCACACUCCUCCGGUUCUUCAAAUUCCAUAACAAGUUCCACCUUUUGUUCAACACGAUCUACAAAGCUUUCGGUAAUGUGGUUGCCUACAUGAUGUGCGUCGCGAUCCUCUUUGUCGGCUUCUGGAUCUGUGGUUACGUCGUCAUUGGCCCGUAUCAUGUAAAGUUCAGUUCGCCUACGACUGCAAUGGGUACUUUGUUUUCCGCCAUUUAUGGUGACGAAGUAUUCGCUACCAUGGCCAUGUUGGAUGCUAGCAAGACCAGCAAAUACGUGUUCUGGUUCACCCGCGUAUACAUCGGCCUCUUCGUCUCAAUAUUUACCGUUGUCGUGAUCAAUCUCCUUGUUGCGAUCUUUCUAAGUGCCUAUGAGUCCAUCCGGGAAUACUACAAACAAUCCCCGAAAGACCGCGACCUGGGGCCAGUGGAAAAGACGCUCCGGAAGUUCCUCACUACGGAAGACCAGGAGCGCAGUAGCCUCCGGGAUUCCAUAUAUGAUCUCAUGAAAGACAGCGACAAUCGGUCCACAGAGGAGAAGGCGUUCCGGACAGAGCUCCUGAAGAUUGUACGGGUGGACCGGACGCCCGACCGAGUGCGCAUCCUGAUGCCAAGGACGCUGAAAGCGUUUAUGGAGAUGGAAGAAGAUGGAAAGGGUGUGGUGAAUUGUCGGUGCUUAAAGUGCGAGAUCGCCUUCAUAUGGUGGAGAAACAACUAAAUGGAAGUUGUGCUUUAAAGGCCAAGUUGAAAGAAAACCUGGCGUUUCCAUUUGGAUUUCUAUGCUGUUGAUUUGUACACUAAAAAUUAUCUUUAAUAUAUAAUAUUACCUUUAAAAGCAGUUCGGUUAGCGCAAUGGAUAGUGUACACACUUUUCAACUUGGCUACCUUGGUUCAAUUGACUCAUAGUGAUAAUACAGAUGUGUUCAUGAAUGAUAAUUGAAAUUGAUAAUUUAUAAUAAAUCGUUACCAACGCGAAAUGACUUAAAUUGAUUCUCCUGUUAAAUCGUUAAAUUUUGUUUCAAUACACGAAUCGCGUAUAUGAAUUAUAAAUUUGAAUUAUAAAUUUAUAUCUGACGUAUAAACGUCCACUUAGCCGAGUUCUUUCUGCAGUAAACUUAUAUUCCACUGGAUACUGGUUUAAAUACGGCUUAAUUUGUUUAAAUGUUAUUCGUGGUACGAAUCCUUUUUAAUUGUUAAAUCUGUUAUCUAACCAACUAAAUCGCCUUUAAGAAAUAUUUAUAGGUAUUUCCAAUUGUCUAAAAAGUAAUAUAUUUUUAGAGUAAAUUGAAUACAUAAGUUCUAUUCAUAUCUAGCAAAAAAAGUACACUAACACUAUGAAUAUGAAACUAGCCAAUAAACUGUUACAAGUUAAAGAGUUUAUUUUCGACUGUAACUUUCAGGUGUCAGCGGUACACACCUAUAAUGGCUUCUAAAUGACAGUUUAUAAACUACUAGAUUACUGCAAAAAUGGUGUGAUUUUCAGAGAUAUAAAUUACUUUGCUGACCUUAUAGAGUUAAUCCUUUGUGUUGGAUGUUACCUUCGGGCUAUAGUUGUUAUUCGGAACUCUCCAGUCUGGGUUUUUCCGAUAUUUGAGCACGCGCGGUAGGUACAAACAAAAGCUUACUAGCAUAUUUUAAAAGAGAGUGAAUCAAUAAUAUCUCUUAUCGCUGAAUAGUAAACACCACUUUUUUUGCGCAAACGUUCGUUAGAGUUGAUAAAAAUGCCAUGAUCUAAUCAGUUUUCUUUAGAUGAACUAAUCUCGAUCGUGUUUAAUUGGUAAGAAUACUAUCUAACACGAUAUAAUGCUGCAUGUACAUGUAAACAGCUUCGGUUACGUAACUAUGUCAUUGCAUAUACUGUGCGUAGACAUGGGCAUACCGUUUUAAUGGAAGUUUGUCAACGAAACUACCAAGACAUUGACUCCAUCGUAAACAUAUACAUAUUACACUAAAUCUAAUCAGAUAUAUUUAACAUCAUACAUCAAGUACCAAACAAAAAAAACCUUACUAUCCUCAGUCCAUUCGUAGUACUAGAACUACCGUAAUUACUCUAUGUUUACGGACACUUAAAAAUAAUUAUUUUGUUGGUGUCCGAAAACUUAGAUACAAAAAAUUUUAACAAAAUAAAGGUGUCCGAAAACUUAGAGUCGAAAAUGGAAGUGUCCGAAAAAAGCAUCAAUUGUAUCAACGACUACCGGUAAUAGCACGCGCUUGUAAAAUACCAUGCCGUAUACAGUACAGUUAUACAUGUUUGCACUGCAUUUUAAAUAAUUGUAAAUGCUUAAUUUAUUUGACAGAAAGUUACUUAAAGGUUGUACUUUGACCAACGAGUUCAAAAAUGAGCAUGUGAUGUACCGAUACAUGAAAGCAGACUAUGAAUUCUUUGUUUGUUCAUUUCCGAAAGUUGUUGUGUAAUACCUUCCAUUGUUCGUAAAACUUGUAAUAGGGUGCAUCACAAUUUGAAACAUUUAGUAUUUGUCACAGUUAUUUUACUGAGAAGGGGUAGUACCAUUGCGGUAGAUAAUUGAACUGUUAAUUGGCACUACCCCUGGUAAUUGUCAUAACGCUUAUGCUAUCGGGCGAAACCAUUGUUUAAUACCGGUUUACAAGGGUAUUUACCCAAUAACGCAAAUGCAAUGUUCCAUUGCCCUCAUGCAUGCAGCCUCAAUGUUUUAUGAUGUUAAUCUGGUUGUAAAACCCCAUGAUCGAAGUGUUAUUAGAUAUCGAAAACAGGUUUGACAUUUGGUAAAAUAGCGCUGUAAAAUAUAUUGUCCUAAAACUUAGAGACAUAAAUAACGGACAAAAACUCGUGUGUCCGAAAAAAAGAAGUCACGAAAAAUAAUUAUUUUUGCUAAAAAAGGGGGUGUCCGAAAACUUAGAGUGUUCGAAAACAUAGAGUAAUUACGGUAAUAUAUCGUUCCAUAUGUGUUGGAUAUUUAUAUGUCUAUUGAUAUAGCUCUAUUGUGAUGCUUUUCUUUAAUAUAAUCUGAAAAGUAACGAAAAUUAUUCGCUAAAGACUAAGACCGUUAUAUUAGAAGGCACAUCACUAACGAGCUUUACCAAACAUUAGUUUUAUUAGCUAUAUCUAUAAAGCAUGCCGAAAAUGUCAUUAAUGACAAUGUUUGUACCUUCCGCGCGCGCUCGGAAAUCGGAAAAACCCACAGCGCGCGAGUUCCGAAUUAAAUCUAUUGUUCACAUCGUUAUGUUGUGUAGGUAAUUUGACAGUUGUAUCGCUUUAAAUAUGAAUUGUAUAUAUGAGCCUCGCUCUGUGAAAAGGGGGUUUUAUGCAUGUGCGUAAAGUGUCGUCCCAGAUUAGCCUGUGGAAUCCGCACAGGCUAAUCAGGGAGUGCACUUUACGUCUAAACUUAAUUUUAUAUAAGAAGAGACUUUCUAUAAAUGGAAAAUAUCAUAAAAGCUUAAAGUAUUUUCCCUGAUUAGCCUGUGCGGACUGCAUAGGCUAAUCUGGAACGACUUGUUACGCUCAUGCAUUAAACACCCUGCUCAUAUACAAGGUAUUUUUUUUAUCUAGACCUCUGUUUUUGAACCUUAGAUACUCUGAACAUCUUGUAAUUUUAAAUAUAAUGUUUUAAAGCCAUGAAACUCCGUAAAAAAAAUUAAACUUAAAAUACAAUGUUUUCCACAUUAACAAGAUUUAUACAAAGUACGGUUUACUCAUCGAGUUAUUCGAAUUAAAUUGUUAUGGCAUUUUUAUAAGUCAAAAUUGUCCGUAGCUUGUAGCGGAAAUUGUCGUCCCAGAUCAGUUUGUGCGGACGAGACUUUACGCUUAUGCAGGACGCCCGGUCUUGCCCGUAGCAACUCAUUUUCGUUUCUUUAACCUACGACAUGCAUACGGAUAUUUAGAAGAAUUUGUUUGACAAUAUUAACAUUAUACUAUUGAACUGUCAUAAAAGCAGAAAUAUAUUCGCUUGAAUUGUGUUCUAUAUUCGGUUUUGUUUGUGCACGUGAUCAUGAUAAUGUAGCAAAACAUGUAUUUGCUUGUAGCAGUAUUGAAACUCCUUUAAGUAUCGUAACAAUUUUUUAUAUUGCUAAUGCAUAUAGAUCAAUAUUAUGUCAAUAUUCCCUAGCUAUAAGCGGUAUUUUAACGUCGUUAAGUUCUAACAAAUGAAUAUCAUUCCGCUGUUUGCUCCGCCUUCUUCAUGUUACGUGUUUAUUAAUAUUUAUUUGUUUUACUUUUAUAUCGUUAGCAUGUUAACGCGAUUAAAAGGAAACUUGUUUACAUAUUCAUUUCAUAUUAUAAUAAUUACAAGUAUACAUAAUAUAUACCAACAAUAGUACAAACCAUAUAAUACUAAGUUAACAAUAUAUAUUUUGUUCAGUUAUUAUGGCAAUAAAAGUCUAGAUGUC